CCUACGGGAGGCAGCAGUCGGGAAUCUUGCACAAUGGGCGAAAGCCUGAUGCAGCAACACCGUGUGAGCGAUGAAGGCCCUAGGGUCGUAAAGCUCUGUUGUUAGGGACGAAGGGCGAAGGGUUAAUAGCCCUUAGCCUGACGGUACCUUUCGAGGAAGCCCCGGCUAACUACGUGCCAGCAGCCGCGGUAAUACGUAGGGGGCGAGCGUUGUCCGGAAUUAUUGGGCGUAAAGAGCGUGUAGGCGGCUUGGUAAGUCUGCUGUGAAACCUUGGGGCUCAACCCCAAGCGUGCAGUGGAUACUGUCAAGCUAGAGGAUGGUAGAGGCCAGUGGAAUUCCCGGUGUAGCGGUGAAAUGCGCAGAUAUCGGGAGGAACACCAGUAGCGAAGGCGGCUGGCUGGGCCAUUCCUGACGCUGAGACGCGAAAGCUAGGGGAGCGAACAGGAUUAGAUACCCUGGUAGUCCUAGCCGUAAACGAUGAACACUAGGUGUGGGGGGAGUCGAAUCCCUCCGUGCCGAAGCCAACGCGUUAAGUGUUCCGCCUGGGGAGUACGGCCGCAAGGCUAAAACUCAAAUGAAUUGACGGGG
This 588-nucleotide ribosomal RNA is filed under the name uncultured Rubrobacter sp. RNAcentral's name for it is "bacterial SSU rRNA". It matches the Rfam family "Bacterial small subunit ribosomal RNA", at positions 338 to 918 of the family's 1533-position model. Lineage: Bacteria; Bacillati; Actinomycetota; Rubrobacteria; Rubrobacterales; Rubrobacteraceae. The record is from RNAcentral.